CAAGAAUUUUGGAGUCAUGGUUUACUCUUCCUUUUUCUUCAUACUCAUAUUGGAGUGUAUGUAUACUUUUAAAAUUUGUCCAGAAUUCUGCCAUGUCUCACUACUUUAAUGUGUAUUAAUGUUUCUGUAUCUUUUUGUGCAGGUGUAUAAUAAUUUUUGAUUGGAUCAAUAGUUAUUGUCAUUUUAGCCAUAUAAACACCCUCCAAAUAACAUAUGGGAUAUGCUGUGAUUGUAUUUUCACUUUUUUUUGGUGGUGGUGGAGCUCUGAAUAUUCAACCCAGGACGUUUUAAAAUUUUGAGGUGUGGUCACUGAAUUGCCCAGGCUGGGCUUAAAACUUGGCUCAGUCUCCCAGAGUGCUGGGAUUAGAAGCAUGCAUCACCAUAUCUGACAUUUUUUUCCUUUUUCAUAUUUUCAAUCUUGGAAAGCUUUCCCCUUGACUGUUAAUAGUUCUCUUUGUGCUUAUCAGUAACUCCGGAAGUUUGAGUCCCUCUGUAUGUUCAAAUACAUCAGAUAUUUCAUUGUGAAUAUUGCCUGAAGAAUAUCUGCCUUUGGUGGCUCAGGAACUUGUAGCCCAGCUACAGAAUAACUCCAGUUUGGCGUCCGGUCACAACUGAGACUUCAGUGAUCCAGUGAUGCUGUGAUUUUCCAGGACAAGAAACAUCCUGGGAGCUGAAAACAUCCUGGGAGAACAAACAUCUGCUCAGUUCCUCAUUGUUCUUAGAUUUCCACUGCCCCCCAUCCUUUUGUUACACCUUGUUAAUCCCAAUGUGAACUAUUGAACUCUAUAUUUCAUUUGUUGCAUUUAUUUCUCCCGACGUACUGAAUAAAAGGUGUGGUAAGCCGGGGGCUUUUGUCUUUGCUGCCCUGAGCAGCACUGAUCAGACCCAAAG
This 891-nucleotide long non-coding RNA is filed under the name Heterocephalus glaber (naked mole-rat). RNAcentral's name for it is "lncRNA (ENSHGLG00100040721.1)". The record is from RNAcentral. Lineage: Eukaryota; Metazoa; Chordata; Mammalia; Rodentia; Bathyergidae.